UUUUUGGAGAGUUUGAUCUUGGCUCAGGACGAACGCUGGCGGCGUGCCUAAUACAUGCAAGUCGAGCGCUGGAAGCUAAUUUCAUCCCUUCGGGAUGAAAUUAGUGGAAAGAGCGGCGGACGGGUGAGUAACACGUGGGCAACCUACCUAUAAGACUGGGAUAACUCGCGGAAACGUGAGCUAAUACCGGAUAAUACUUUUUAUUGCAUAAUAAGAGG
This 218-nucleotide ribosomal RNA is filed under the name Oceanobacillus caeni. Its description in RNAcentral is "partial 16S ribosomal RNA". It matches the Rfam family "Bacterial small subunit ribosomal RNA", at positions 1 to 200 of the family's 1533-position model. The record is from RNAcentral. Lineage: Bacteria; Bacillati; Bacillota; Bacilli; Caryophanales; Bacillaceae.